UACGAAGGGGGCUAGCGUUGUUCGGAAUUACUGGGCGUAAAGGGCGUGUAGGCGGUGUGUCAAGUCAGGCGUGAAAGCCCCGGGCUCAACCUGGGAACGGCGCUUGAGACUGGCACGCUCGAGUUCGGGAGAGGAUGGUGGAAUUCCCAGUGUAGAGGUGAAAUUCGUAGAUAUUGGGAGGAACACCGAUGGCGAAGGCAGCCAUCUGGACCGACACUGACGCUGAGGCGCGAAAGCGUGGGGAGCAAACAGG
Molecule: ribosomal RNA, 253 nt
Filed under: uncultured bacterium
Lineage: Bacteria
Description: partial 16S ribosomal RNA
Rfam family: Bacterial small subunit ribosomal RNA
Source: RNAcentral